RNAcentral lists this transfer RNA (73 nucleotides) under Camelus bactrianus (Bactrian camel). It matches the Rfam family "tRNA". Rfam says of the family: Transfer RNA (tRNA) molecules are approximately 80 nucleotides in length. Their secondary structure includes four short double-helical elements and three loops (D, anti-codon, and T loops). RNAcentral also lists the same sequence under 2 other names. Lineage: Eukaryota; Metazoa; Chordata; Mammalia; Artiodactyla; Camelidae. The record is from Rfam by way of RNAcentral.
AAGGGUAUAGCUCAAGUGGUAGAGUACAUGCUUAGCAUGCAUGAAAUCCCAGGUUCAAUCCUCAGUACCUCUU